Molecule: ribosomal RNA, 253 nt
Filed under: uncultured bacterium
Lineage: Bacteria
Description: partial 16S ribosomal RNA
Rfam family: Bacterial small subunit ribosomal RNA
Source: RNAcentral
UACGUAGGGGGCAAGCGUUGUCCGGAUUUAUUGGGCGUAAAGAGCGUGUAGGCGGUUUGGUAGGUCCGCUGUGAAAACUCGAGGCUCAACCUCGAGACGCCGGUGGAAACCAUCAGGCUAGAGUCCGGAAGAGGAGAGUGGAAUUCCUAGUGUAGCGGUGAAAUGCGCAGAUAUCAGGAAGAACACCCGUGGCUAAGGCGGCUCUCUAGUACGGUACUGACGCUGAGACGCGAAAGCGUGGGGAGCGAACAGG